Long non-coding RNA from Bombus pascuorum, 2032 nucleotides. RefSeq lists it as uncharacterized. The transcript has 2 exons. The record is from RefSeq and is a predicted model, not a curated record. Lineage: Eukaryota; Metazoa; Arthropoda; Insecta; Hymenoptera; Apidae.
GACUCGACGGUGGCGGUAUUUAAUUCGUAUCAAUCUCGAGUUAAUUACACCCGGAGCAUUCGAAACUUUUCCGUAUCUAUCUUAUCUGGUACGCUAGGCUCGGAUAUAUCAGCUUUCUAAGUUAGAUAUGUACAGGGUGGAUCAUAAAUGCAUGUCCAUUACUCAGGGGCUGAAUCUUUAGGCUAAAACAAGUGAAGAAACACUUUAUGGAUAUACACCUCGGUUUUCUGGCAAAGGACGAUCAGAGAAUGUUCCAUUAGACUGUUACUUUUGAAGCCGAUCAGCACACGAUCUACGAAAAUGAAAUACAAAACAGAUUUGUAUAUGGGACAUAUGUACGGUUCGUAAGACGAUUUUUAUUUUAUCGUAGUGCAUAGAUUCAGGCUCUGUAAUACAAACAUACAUUUAUGACUCACCUUGUACGAUCGAAUUAAACGAGAUCGUUGCAUGAUCGUGAAUGUAAUUUCGGUCAAGGUGAAGAAAAAAGUAAUUUUUUCCACUGUGAAAGUACCAAAGAACCAAGUUAAAUACGAAGAACGUCUAUACGCACGUGUAAUACAGUUGUGUAACUUCAUCACGCUUAAUUAUUACCCUUUGUUCUUUACCCUUUAAUCGGGCGACUGUUACACUCUGAUUAAAAUUUGCUCGCUUGGUUGCACUUGGGGUUAAGAUACAUGUACUAGUAGAGUAAAACACUUAUAUCUUCUUACGCCAUAAUUUGAUGCACGGUAUUAAUAUUCGUAAGAGGUACACGGUUAAUUGCUCAAAAUCUUGAAAGAUCCUUAACAUCUUUAAAGUAACAUUCGUGCGAGGAUUUUCCAUCGACCUUGUUACUAGUCUUAUGAUAAUAAAUGUAUUCGUGUUAAUAAAUUUACAAUGCUACUUAUACAUUAAAUAUAUUCUUUGGAGAAGUUUGAACUAUUUCAAAUACGAUUGAAAACUUCCCACGAUAUUAUAUGUAUUUUAGAAGAUUAUAAUAAUUCUCCGGCAGAAAGAACAGUCAAACUCGAUUUACAAAAGUCCAUUAAACCAAUCGUUGUCUGUAUUUUUUUUUUUUUUUAUUAUUCCCGAGUUAAAUUAGCAGAUUAAUAAUCGAAUUACGCGAGGAGAGGUCGUCCCACUUCUUACUCUGGCGCAAUCAUCCGUUCGGCAUCGGUCCGUCAGAAAAUCAAUUUCCCAAUUUGUUCGUCCGAUUAUACAACAGAAUAAGCCCUCGAUCGAGUUUCGUCCUCUUUCACUUUGUGAGUACAUAAGGUUUGUCCGACGAAAUAACUUCAUUAGCGAAACCAGGCCGCCAUUCUUUGCCGAGUGGAGGAUACGAUUAGAGAGGAUUCGCGAGUAACCGUCAGAGAGACGGAGAAACUUGGAUAGUUUAUAAUUCACGUAGCAACUUCGUCGUAACGUAAACAAUUAGUCGGAUUAAGAGGGUACUCGUUCGAGAAAGGGAGCAAGAAGGAGAAAGGGAGAUGGGGCUCGCGUCGAUCCGGUUUUAUUGUUCUAAUGAAUCGAUUUCAUCGAGGUAAAAAGCGCACCGCGAGCUUUUUCCAUGUUCCUGCAAAAGGCUGCGACACGAACAAGAAUGAAUAUUUAAUUUAUUUAAUGUUUAAUUUCUUUUUAUUUAAAAAAAAAUAAAAAAAACAUUUGUAUGGUAAUCGAAGGGCUCGUAACUAGAUAGUAGACCUUUUCGUAUUUAUGGGAAAUUUAAAAAUAGAAAAAUCCAUAUGAUGAUCGUAGCAAUAUGGAUUUCGAUAAACAUUCGCAGUCUAUUCGUAGUAAAAACGAUCCUUGUCAAAUUGUCCUAAUAAUUGUCUUUUAAAUAAUAAUACAUUUCAGUAACCAAGAGCCACGCUCGAACAACGUCGGUAUUAUAACAAGUAAUCUAUCUUUAGUUAUCGUUGGAUAAAAAUGAAACGGUUCAAUAAAGACUUUUGUCGCGAAGUCCACAAUUUUAUGAUUUAACUGGAUAUAAUUCUUCUCUGAUAUAAUUACAGAUACGGUCAUAAAAAUUACGUAAUGUGGGGAAUAUUUUUUU